AGAAGAUUGGCAGAAUUGUAAUGUGACUAGCUUGAAACUAGUAUUAUGUAGGUUUGAGUCCUAUAUCUUCUU
This 72-nucleotide transfer RNA is filed under the name Ophiarachnella infernalis. Its description in RNAcentral is "tRNA-Ser". It matches the Rfam family "tRNA". From Rfam's summary of the family: Transfer RNA (tRNA) molecules are approximately 80 nucleotides in length. Their secondary structure includes four short double-helical elements and three loops (D, anti-codon, and T loops). Further hydrogen bonds mediate the characteristic L-shaped molecular structure. tRNAs have two regions of fundamental functional importance: the anti-codon, which is responsible for specific mRNA codon recognition, and the 3' end, to which the tRNAs corresponding amino acid is attached (by aminoacyl-tRNA synthetases). tRNAs cope with the degeneracy of the genetic code in two manners: having more than one tRNA (with a specific anti-codon) for a particular amino acid; and 'wobble' base-pairing, i.e. permitting non-standard base-pairing at the 3rd anti-codon position. The record is from RNAcentral. Lineage: Eukaryota; Metazoa; Echinodermata; Ophiuroidea; Amphilepidida; Ophiodermatidae.